Molecule: non-coding RNA, 120 nt
Filed under: Roseivivax halodurans
Lineage: Bacteria; Pseudomonadati; Pseudomonadota; Alphaproteobacteria; Rhodobacterales; Roseobacteraceae
Also listed under: 1 other name
Description: TPP sequence
Rfam family: TPP riboswitch aptamer (THI element)
About the family: Vitamin B(1) in its active form thiamin pyrophosphate (TPP) is an essential coenzyme that is synthesised by coupling of pyrimidine and thiazole moieties in bacteria. The previously detected thiamin-regulatory element, thi box was extended, resulting in a new, highly conserved RNA secondary structure, the THI element, which is widely distributed in eubacteria and also occurs in some archaea. Analysis of operon structures identified a large number of new candidate thiamin-regulated genes, mostly transporters, in various prokaryotic organisms.
Source: RNAcentral
AUCUGUACCUCGGGGUGCCGGACGGUGCGCAUGCGCCCACGGCUGAGAUGCGGGAGAUCCCGCGAACCCGUUGAACCUGAACCGGGUAACACCGGCGGAGGGAAGGUUUUGCGGAACGAG